RNAcentral lists this ribosomal RNA (875 nucleotides) under uncultured bacterium. RNAcentral's name for it is "bacterial SSU rRNA". It matches the Rfam family "Bacterial small subunit ribosomal RNA", at positions 35 to 916 of the family's 1533-position model. The record is from RNAcentral.
GCUAGCGGCAGGCCUAACAAUGCAAUUCGAGCGGUAACAGUCCUUCGGGAUGCUGACGAGCGGCGGACGGGUGAGUAAUGCAUAGGAAUCUGCCCGGUAGUGGGGGAUAACCUGGGGAAACCCAGGCUAAUACCGCAUACGUCCUACGGGAGAAAGGGGGCUCCGGCUCCCGCUAUUGGAUGAGCCUAUGUCGGAUUAGCUAGUUGGUGAGGUAAUGGCUCACCAAGGCAACGAUCCGUAGCUGGUCUGAGAGGAUGAUCAGCCACAUCGGGACUGAGACACGGCCCGAACUCCUACGGGAGGCAGCAGUGGGGAAUAUUGGACAAUGGGGGCAACCCUGAUCCAGCCAUGCCGCGUGUGUGAAGAAGGCCCUCGGGUUGUAAAGUACUUUCAGCGAGGAGGAAAGGUGGUAAAUUAAUACUUUAUCACUGUGACGUUACUCGCAGAAGAAGCACCGGCUAACUCCGUGCCAGCAGCCGCGGUAAUACGGAGGGUGCAAGCGUUAAUCGGAAUUACUGGGCGUAAAGCGCAUGCAGGCGGUUUGUUAAGCGAGAUGUGAAAGCCCCGGGCUCAACCUGGGAACUGCAUUUCGAACUGGCAAACUAGAGUUCUUGAGAGGGUGGUAGAACAUCAGGUGUAGCGGUGAAAUGCGUAGAGAUCUGAAGGAAUACCAGUGGCGAAGGCGGCCACCUGGCAAGUAACUGACGCUCAGAUGCGAAAGCGUGGGUAGCAAACGGGAGUUAGAUACCCCGGUAGUCCACGCCGUAAACGAUGUCUACUCGGAGUUUGGCCUUGAGAACUGGGCUCUUAAGCUAACGCAUUAAGUGACCGCCUGGGGAGUACGGCCGCAAGGUAAAACUCAAAUGAAUUGAACG